GAUGAAGAACGCAGCGAAAUGCGAUACGUAAUGUGAAUUGCAGAAUUCAGUGAAUCAUCGAGUCUUUGAACGCACAUUGCGCCCCCUGGUAUUCCGGGGGGCAUGCCUGUCCGAGCGUCAUUGCUGCCCUCAAGCCCGGCUUGUGUGUUGGGUCUCGUCCCCCUUCCCGGGGGGACGGGCCCGAAAGGCAGCGGCGGCACCGCGUCCGGUCCUCGAGCGUAUGGGGCUUUGUCACCCGCUCUUGUAGGCCCGGCCGGCGCUUGCCGACACAUCAAUCUUUUUUCCAGGUUGACCUCGGAUCAGGUAGGGAUACCCGCUGAACUUAAGCAUAUCAAUAAGCGGAGGA
RNAcentral lists this unclassified non-coding RNA (346 nucleotides) under soil metagenome. RNAcentral's name for it is "partial contains 5.8S ribosomal RNA, internal transcribed spacer 2, and large subunit ribosomal RNA". The stretch from base 1 to 120 matches the Rfam family "5.8S ribosomal RNA", at positions 35 to 154 of the family's 154-position model. The record is from RNAcentral.